This 490-nucleotide ribosomal RNA is filed under the name uncultured bacterium. Its description in RNAcentral is "bacterial SSU rRNA". It matches the Rfam family "Bacterial small subunit ribosomal RNA", at positions 903 to 1397 of the family's 1533-position model. The record is from RNAcentral.
AAAUGAAUUGACGGGAGCCCGCACAAGCAGUGGAGUAUGUGGUUUAAUUCGACGCAACGCGAAGAACCUUACCGGAACUUGACAUCCCGCAAAAAGGCCCAUAAAAAGCUAAUGCCCUUCGGGGAAUGCGGUGACAGGUGGUGCAUGGUUGUCGUCAGCUCGUGUCGUGAGAUGUUGGGUUAAGUCCCGCAACGAGCGCAACCCCUAUGUUCAGUUACUACGCAAGAGGACUCUGGACAGACUGCCGUUGACAAAACGGAGGAAGGUGGGGACGACGUCAAAUCAUCAUGCCCCUUACGUUCCGGGCUACACACGUACUACAAUGGCGCAAACAAAGGGAAGCAAUGCCGCGAGGCGGAGCAAACCCCAUAAAAGGCGUCCCAGUUCGGACUGCAGGCUGCAACUCGCCUGCACGAAGUUGGAAUUGCUAGUAAUCGCGAAUCAGCAUGUCGCGGUGAAUACGUUCCCGGGCUUUGUACACACCGCCCGU